AUUGAACGCUGGCGGCAUGCUUUACACAUGCAAGUCGAACGGUAACAGGCCGCAAGGUGCUGACGAGUGGCGAACGGGUGAGUAAUGCAUCGGAACGUGCCCAGUCGUGGGGGAUAACUACUCGAAAGAGUAGCUAAUACCGCAUACGAUCUAUGGAUGAAAGCGGGGGACCGUAAGGCCUCGCGCGAUUGGAGCGGCCGAUGUCAGAUUAGGUAGUUGGUGGGGUAAAGGCUCACCAAGCCAACGAUCUGUAACUGGUCUGAGAGGACGACCAGCCACACUGGGACUGAGACACGGCCCAGACUCCUACGGGAGGCAGCAGUGGGGAAUUUUGGACAAUGGGCGCAAGCCUGAUCCAGCAAUGCCGCGUGCAGGAAGAAGGCCUUCGGGUUGUAAACUGCUUUUGUACGGAACGAAACGGCUCUGGUUAAUACCCGGGGCUAAUGACGGUACCGUAAGAAUAAGCACCGGCUAACUACGUG
This 482-nucleotide ribosomal RNA is filed under the name uncultured bacterium. Its description in RNAcentral is "partial 16S ribosomal RNA". It matches the Rfam family "Bacterial small subunit ribosomal RNA", at positions 30 to 507 of the family's 1533-position model. The record is from RNAcentral.